UGCGGGUUAACGUAGCGGCAAACGUGCCAGUCUCAUAAUCUGGAAAGCAUCGGUUCGAGUCCGAUACCCGCGA
RNAcentral lists this transfer RNA (73 nucleotides) under Saprospiraceae bacterium. Its description in RNAcentral is "tRNA-Met". It matches the Rfam family "tRNA". Rfam says of the family: Transfer RNA (tRNA) molecules are approximately 80 nucleotides in length. Their secondary structure includes four short double-helical elements and three loops (D, anti-codon, and T loops). The record is from RNAcentral. Lineage: Bacteria; Pseudomonadati; Bacteroidota; Saprospiria; Saprospirales; Saprospiraceae.